AUUGAACGCUGGCGGCAGGCCUAACACAUGCAAGUCGAGCGGAUGAAGGGAGCUUGCUCCUGGAUUCAGCGGCGGACGGGUGAGUAAUGCCUAGGAAUCUGCCUGGUAGUGGGGGAUAACGUCCGGAAACGGGCGCUAAUACCGCAUACGUCCUGAGGGAGAAAGUGGGGGAUCUUCGGACCUCACGCUAUCAGAUGAGCCUAGGUCGGAUUAGCUAGUUGGUGGGGUAAAGGCCUACCAAGGCGACGAUCCGUAACUGGUCUGAGAGGAUGAUCAGUCACCCUGGAACUGGAACCCGGCCCAGCCCCCCACGGGGGGCCGCGGUGGGAAAUUUUGGACAAGGGGCGAAACCCUGAUCCAGCCAUGCCGCGUGGGUGAAGAAGGUCUUCGGUUUGUAAAGCCCUUUAAGUUGGGAGGAAGGGAAGUAAGUUAAUACCUUGUUUUUUUGCCGUUCCCAACAGAAUAAGCCCCGGCUAACUUCGU
This 483-nucleotide ribosomal RNA is filed under the name uncultured bacterium. Its description in RNAcentral is "partial 16S ribosomal RNA". It matches the Rfam family "Bacterial small subunit ribosomal RNA", at positions 30 to 506 of the family's 1533-position model. The record is from RNAcentral.